Anastrepha ludens (Mexican fruit fly) is the source of this 1730-nucleotide long non-coding RNA. RefSeq lists it as uncharacterized. The transcript has 2 exons. Lineage: Eukaryota; Metazoa; Arthropoda; Insecta; Diptera; Tephritidae. The record is from RefSeq and is a predicted model, not a curated record.
UUGUGGUUGUGUUGCUGUGUCUACUUUGCGCUUGGUGCUUGAUGUUCGGUAUUGGGUGCUCCGUUGCCGAUAUCGUUGAAAAAAUUUGUGUUCACCACCAUAACAUGUGUACCAGUAUAUGUGAAUGUGAAUGUUAUGUCUUAAAAAGAUGUUACGCGGUGAGGGGAGUGAGAAAAAUUAAGAAAAUAAAAUCCAGGUGUAUGUAGGAAAUGAAAAUUUCGAUUUUGUUUGCCACUACAGCUGUCAUCAGAAUAAAAUCUAAGUGAAGAAAAAUAGCUGAAAAUGUUGAUUGCGCACGAUUGAUAAUAAUUAACAUCAGACCUCUUCAAAUGUAUUAUAUGCCUGAUUGUCCAGCUUAUUGUUUGGUAUAGAUUAAAUACACACUCUUGCCCUAAAGAAAUGUGAGAUGUUUGAUAGCUACUGCUUGCGGUGGCCAAUUUCUCCAUCACUUAACUACGGUUAUGUACAAAAUAUUUAUGUAUGUAUAAAUGUGUCAAUAUAUUUGUACGUCAAUGACGACGUCAGCUAUAGCGCCGCCGCAACGACAACCGCGCAUCAUAGAAAUCGAUAAUUUUUAUAUUCCUGCCGCUGUUGAUGAAAUUGCCUUGCAUUUCCUCAUAGGCCCACCAUUCCCACCCUCUCUGGAACUUUCGAUUUUUCCAAACAUACUUUUUAAACUUUACUGACACUUGUAUUAAUUAAUUUCUCACUGGUAAUUUUUUUUUUUGACUGUCGGCAAGUGUAGAUAUUAUUUCUAACUGUUGUUUAUGAUGUAAAGCAUAUUUGUUUAUUCAUAGUGUCCUAAUUGAUUUAGCGUACAUGUUGAGCUAUUAGGGUUAAUGGCUCAAUUUGCUAGAAGACGGGGGAAAAUUGCACUUAAUUGUUGAUCGCCUAUAAUAUCGUGUAAUAUUGGCUUAAUACAAAAAUAAUGGCUGUAGCAACCUUUAUUACACUCAUUUGUAUAAAAUCGAUUGUAUCGCAAGUAAUUUUAGUGAUUUUCAGUAUAAAGUAUAGUAUAAAUAUGCACGGUUAAUCCUCUCUACAUAUUUUAGUUCAAGAUUUUUUGGCUAAAGUGUUUACUUAACACGAAAUGAAAAUUUUCCAGAAUUGAAAAGUAACUUAUUUCGUUUGUCCUUAAAAAGGUUUUUCUAAACAAAAGCUGGUAAAAAAUGUUUGAGCCUAAGAAACGAAUUAUGUCAUUAUAGGCAAUAUAAUAUACCUACUACAUAUUUUCCAUUCUUUGGACUAUGAAAGCUAUAUAUUUCCUGCCACAUCACUUUUUCAUUAGGUAUUCUCGUUGUGCCAUCUUAUGAUAGGCCUUAGAUCUGUACUGAUCCGAUUGAGUUGAAGAGUCAGAGAGAAAGUCAUUAAGAAUUAAUUGAAGGAGUGUAGUUAGUUUCAUCCAUAUACAUACGUUCAUAAACAAAAUAUUUGAUGACUAUGUCUGGGUCAGUUCGGGAUAUGAACGGGUUUAAUCUACAGAACUUCAACAUUUUGAUAGUUUGGCGUUGCUUGCUUUAUAGGCCUGUCACAGUAGGUUCCAAGACCAGUUUAAGGUGUUAGCAAUUGUACAAAAGCAAAAAGCUGCAUGUAUUUUGUUUUUGUUCUUUGGGCUCAAAUAUCAAAAUGCUUAUUUCCAAGGCGAAUUAGUUGAAUAAAGAUUCCUGAGCGAUGAGCAAAAAGUUUGAAGCUUGUAAUUUGCAACAGUGGAGGAUAUGGAACAGCAAAAA